Colossoma macropomum (tambaqui) is the source of this 3225-nucleotide RNA transcript. It is a transcript of the gene named G2/M phase-specific E3 ubiquitin-protein ligase, with no coding region annotated. NCBI's taxonomy places the organism in Eukaryota, Metazoa, Chordata, Actinopteri, Characiformes, Serrasalmidae. The record is from RefSeq and is a predicted model, not a curated record. The transcript is spliced from 10 exons.
ACAGAUAAUACAGAGGACUUCAGACCUCACCUUAUACUUAUAGAAGUUAAGAGUGUUUUUACCUUCUUUUAUAAAACUAUUCUUCUAAAUACACCUCAAGUGAGACUCAGCAACCACGGAUUAGGCAAGCCAGUGUAUGAGAGGACAGGAAACGGAAGGUCUAAAAUUAACUUGAAUUGGAGUUUAUCUGAAUUGCCAAAGCUACCCACACAUCAGUUUAAAUUUGGUUGGCUUUGAACUGGCAAGGGCUGGCAAAGGACAAAAGGAAACAUCACCAACCUUAGCAAUGUCCAGCAGUUCAUUCCCAGAACCCUCCUCUGCUCCAACACUAAGCGAGACCUCCCCAGUGGUUGAGAACACCCAAAACUAACAUUUGGUGGCCAUUUUGAAAUAUAUGCAUUUUAUUUUUCUCUGUUGUGUUAUUUGGCAGUGAUACUGCAUGUAAUAAAUGCAUGUACUGGAUUUACAAUAGACCCUUCAGGCGUGGCGAUCCCUACGUUCCCAGCAAGACCAAGAGUAUAAAGAAUCUUUGUUAGCAGACCAAGAGAAGGUAGAAUUUAUUUAUUUAUUUUUUUUUGGUAAGUUUUAACUGUUCUUAUUUUUUUGUUCAAAGCAAAAAUACAAUUCUUAUUGUCACAUGAAAAGAGAAAACAGUGUUACAAGGCCUGGGAGGAAAGACAUAAAAAGGUUAGACCUAAUUCAAUCUUAAGGUAACAAUCUUAGAUUGUUAACCUAAUUGUUUGAGGGCUCAUGUUUUAGGCAAUUGAAGACAGAUGUCAGAGAAUGGCAGCAUGUGAGGAACCAUCAAGGGGGCUGCUGUUGAAGUUCAACAUCUGCAUGAGAAAAUUCACUGUGUCUGAGCCAAUUCAGGUCCUGUUUGACUUUGUUGGACAAGAUGAAAUGGCCAGCGAAAUUUUCAGUGUGCAAGAAGCAACAUCGUCAACACCAACUGAGAGUAAUUCAUCAGGAUCACUUAUGGAUCAUGGUAUAAACACCUCUGCAACUCUGAAUAUCCAGGAAAUGAUCACUGAUAAGCCGAAUAAUGGAGUUUUUGACCAUCCACUGCCCUCCGCCCAGGCGCCGCCCAGACGCUACCGGAACUACCUUCUGUUCAGGCGCUGCUGACCCUGCCCUCCGCCCAGGCACUGCCCGCCAUACCUUCCGCCCUGGCGCCGCCCGCCCUGCCCUCCGCCCAGGUGCUGCCCACCCUACCCUCCGCCCAUGCGCCGCCGGACCUACCUUCUGUUCAGGCGCUGCUGACCCUGCCCUCCAAUCAGACGCCGCCGGCCCUACCUUCUGCCCAGGCACUGUCGACUCCAUCGUCCUCUCAACCACCGUUGAUCCCAGCCUCAGGGCCGCUGGCCUUGCCCUCUGACCAGGCACCACAAGUGAUUAUCAUUGAGGAUCGGUCACCAACUUUUCCAUCUAUUGAGCCACCCACAGUCAUCCUUGAAGACCAAGAAGAACAACUUUGUCUCUCUCCACCCCAGUCUCCUCUAUGUCAGCUGGAUUUGCCUUUGGAUGAGACUAACCUACAGACCAUAUCUGGCCAGCAAAGUUGAUAUGAGUAUCUGUCCCACAAGCAACCAAAUAAAUGUUUGCAGGGACAGGAUUUUAGAAUGUAGCCUGCAAGCAUUCAAAAGACGACAGUUUAACCCAGCAGCAAAACUGGACGUUGUUUUUGUGGAUGAGGAACAGAAAUCUGAAGGGGCAGUUGAUGAAGGAGGUCCAACAAGAGAGUACUUAAGGCUACUGAUGAGGGCCAUUCAUUAGUCAAAUAUCUCUGAGGGGCAUGAGAAGGACCAGCAUUUGGCCCUAGACACUAAAGUGUUGGAGUCUAAACUAUACGCCUGGAUGGGAAAAAUGAUAUCCGUUUGUUUGGUGCAUGGAGGCAUUGGCCCACACUUCUACUCAGAGAGGCUUUAUCAGCAGAUUUGUGGCAUACCAACACAUCCCACACUGGUAGAGGAAGUUUCAGGGAGCAGCUGAUCAAAAUACAGGAAGCAAAAACAGUCAGAGAGGCAAAUGAAGCUAUUAUGGAGGCAGCAGACAGCCUGAGUAUUGUUGGUGCUUUAAGACAUGUAUCUAAUCUGGAGGAGAAGGAUUCACUUGUGCAGUCUGCUGCGGAUUUCUUUGUAAACGGAAGAGUGCACGCUGCCUUGGAACAGUUUGCAGUAGGUUUAAGGACUCUCGGCUUGCUGGAGGAGCUGCAGAAAAACUCUGGACUAUUUUACAAUAUGUUUGUCAGUGAGGAGAGACCACCUCAGGCACGGGACUUGUGCACCCUUUUUGAAGUGCAUUUUUCCAAGCAAGGCAGCAACAGAAGAGCUAGAGAAAAUCAAACAAUAUGCUUUUGGAGAGACUGGUUGAAGGUUGAAGGUAUAUAUUGAAGAUGGAGAAUGCAGUCCCAUUACACUUGAGAUGAUACUGGAGUUUGCCUCUGGAGCAUCCACGGUGCCUCCACUGGGAUUUCACCAUCGCCCACCAAUUGAGUUCCUCCAUGAGGCCAACAAAAUCUUCCCGGAGGCAAAUACUUGCCUUGUAGUACUCCGCCUUCCAGUACACACAGACUAUGAAUCUUUCAAAAAGUACAUGAAAGAGGGUAUUCUGCAGGCACCUACUUUUGGUGUUGCAUAAGCAGCCAGUAAGUGCAACAGUUCAUUCACAGUUCCUUAAAAGAAAUAAUUUUGUUGGAAAGUUUGAAAUUUGUUGCUGUGUAAAAGCCAGACUGAAACCAACUACAAAAUGUGAUCUUUGCUAAUGUUUCUUUUUUUCCAUAAAAUAAGACCUUUAUUUAAAUGCAGUAUUAUUCAAAAGUUUGAUAUCACUUGCCAUACAAUUUCACUUCAUUUAAUAUUUCUAGAAUUCUGUGAAUAAGAAGUAAGUACAUACAAUGUUAUACUGUCAUUAUUUAGUUGCCUGGGUAUUUGCCUUUGAGAUUUGGUCUCCGGAUUUGAAAUUUGAAUUACCUAUGUGCUUCUUCUCCCUAUGCACUAACAUUUCUUUGAAAACUGUUUUUAUAUAACAUUUUUAUACACUUAUCCGUAACCUAAUUGGUUUUAUAUUGUUGCAGACAUAAAUUCUGAAAGUUUUAAUGGUAGUGUAGAUGUUACUUAACACCCCUGCAUCAGCUAUGUGUUUUCUGACAAAUGUAACAGCAUGUCCAUUGUCUUGUUGUCAAACAUUCUUAAAAAAUGUUAAGUCAAUAAAGCAUUUGCAAUUUUA